CUGCAUCUUGCAGCUGCUUGCCCAAGGACUGUAUGUAACCAAGACCCUUUCUCUCUUUGGCAAGGUGUCACUGUGAGCAGUAUGUCUCCGCUGAAGAGCUGUGUGACCGAGAGUGCUUGCUGAACACCCCACAGAUCUCUCUGAGCCUUGGCAUCCAUUCAGAGCUCCUCCUGAGUGUUGAGGAAGGAGAGGACAGAGAGAUUUUUGGUUGGAUCUGCCAUUGCAGAGAGUUCGGCGUGGCGAGCAGACUGCCUCCUCCAAGGACACCCAUCCCUUACCCUGCAUCCCCAACCCUAUUGUGUGUUUGAAU
Molecule: long non-coding RNA, 310 nt
Filed under: Chrysemys picta bellii (western painted turtle)
Lineage: Eukaryota; Metazoa; Chordata; Testudines; Emydidae
Description: lncRNA (ENSCPBG00000017707.1)
Source: RNAcentral